This 972-nucleotide ribosomal RNA is filed under the name Triticum aestivum (bread wheat). RNAcentral describes it as "partial small subunit ribosomal RNA". The record is from RNAcentral. Lineage: Eukaryota; Viridiplantae; Streptophyta; Magnoliopsida; Poales; Poaceae.
AUGCGCGCCGGGCCGACGGGGUGGAGGCGCAGCAACGGGGGAGUGCCCGUUCCCCCGUUGCCCGAUGUCGUGGCACGUGCCCUCUACUUCGCUGCCGAGGUAGAGCUCGUGCGCGCCUCCCUCACCAACGAGCAGCUCGCCCUCUCCCAGUACGCCGCCGACAACCACGCGGCGUGGGCGGCGUACUUCGAGCGGCGUCAGGAGCAGAGGCUGGCGUCCACCAACGGGGCGCCGGUGGUGGGCAGCACGAAGAACAGCGAGGGACGCCGCGUGUGGUGGGGCUUCCCCGGCCGCACGCUCGAGGGCGUGCUGACGCACCUUGAGGGCGGCAACAACCCGCCGCUGGCAUACCCUCCCCCGGUGGCCGCCCCGGCCCAUCGUCGACGCGUCGGGCAAUGGAUGCCCAGGAGGUUCGGCUCCUCCUCGUCUUCCUCCUCGCACUCCUCCUCACGGUCUUGUUCCCACUCCUCCGGCUCUCCGGCGCUGCUCGGUGUCAAGGCCGAGGCCGCGGCGGGGACGCCGCUCGGCCGGCGCACUCGCAGCGCCGGCAUCGUCAUCAACGAGGGCGGCCGGCGCGCCUCCUCGUCGGCUCCUUCGCGCUUCGUCAAGCCAAAGACGGAGCCGGGGCUCGCGCCGGUGAAAACGGAGCCGGGUCUCCCCGCCGUGAAGACGGAACAUGGCGACGUGGAGCUCGACGACGAGGCGGCCCUGAAAUGGGCGCUCAAGGACUUCCUGAAGAUGGAGAGGGAGCGCGAGUGCGCCGCCCUGUGGCGCUUCCAGCAGCGCCGCCGGGGCCGCGACGAAGGAGGAGUCGUCGUCCUCGACGACAGCGACGACGACGACGCGCCGCCGCCGCCACCAGUCCGCCAUGGCGAUGCCGGGCAGGGGACCACCAGGGACGGCCGCGUCAAGGAGGAGAAGGCCGACGACGACGGCGGCGGCGAGGAUGGCGGCGACGACGGCGACUACUCC